Perca flavescens (yellow perch) is the source of this 308-nucleotide long non-coding RNA. RefSeq lists it as uncharacterized. The transcript has 3 exons. The record is from RefSeq and is a predicted model, not a curated record. Lineage: Eukaryota; Metazoa; Chordata; Actinopteri; Perciformes; Percidae.
CUGAAAUGUUUGGUUUCCCGGUAGUAGCCAUCUGCGACGGUUGGCUAGCUGACUGUAGCCUACGCUACUUUCCCAGCAGUGAGAUGGCCAUAAAGAAGAACUCGGCGUUGAUCCUGUAACCGUGUUUUUGCUGCAUGUGGGUCCGUAGCAGGCCGGGUGUUUUGAAGGAGGCCAGACAGCUGCCUUUUACUGCCCAAGGGGGUAAUAAACAGUGAGGGAGGGGUAGUUAUUUACCCCUUUUAUUAGGGAGGCAGAGGAGGGGACUUUAUUGGGGUCACACUGUAACUACACACAGCUGCAGGGCAAGA